UGGUACCUACGGGGGGCAGCAGUGAGGAAUAUUGGUCAAUGGGCGCGAGCCUGAACCAGCCACGUCGCGUGAGGGAAGACGGUCCUAUGGAUUGUAAACCUCUUUUGUCGGGGAGCAAAAGACGCCACGCGUGGCGUUCCGAGAGUACCCGAAGAAAAAGCAUCGGCUAACUCCGUGCCAGCAGCCGCGGUAAUACGGAGGAUGCGAGCGUUAUCCGGAUUUACUGGGUGUAAAGGGCGUGUAGGCGGGGAAGCAAGUCAGAUGUGAAAACCACGGGCUCAACCUGGGGCCUGCAUUUGAAACUG
RNAcentral lists this ribosomal RNA (305 nucleotides) under uncultured bacterium. Its description in RNAcentral is "bacterial SSU rRNA". It matches the Rfam family "Bacterial small subunit ribosomal RNA", at positions 333 to 635 of the family's 1533-position model. The record is from RNAcentral.